AUGCAAAACGGUCCAGGAUGCUAUCGUCCCCUAGUCGCUGCUGCACCAUCGAGGUCAGCGCGCAGCAAGUCACAGAGAGGCCACGUCGGCUGCAGACCUCGGCGGCGGGCGGUGGCGGCGCGUGUCCACGCGAGGGCGCUGCGCACCGCGCUUCAGCCCGGCCUCGCCGUCUCCAGGGGCGGUCUCCGGGCGCCAGGGGGCGUGCGAGGACCGAGGAGCGCGCAAGAGCCAGCCCGCGGAUCCCGGACCGCGCGCCCCCGCCGUGUGCCCCGCCGUGUGCCCCACUGUGUGCGGGGUCCCGGGAGCGCGACCGGUCUGCCCGGGCCUCCUCCGCAGAUGAAGCGGCGGCUGGAAGGUCUCGGGGGCGCGCCAAGCCAGAGGCGCUUGCCUUCACACCUGUGCGGGGCUCACCUGGUUCUGCGGCCGGCCCGGGCGUUACCUGCAUGCACCGUGCUCUACCUGCGGGAGCGGAGCGGAGUCCGCGGUGCCUGCGUGGCCGGGGCAGGAACCCCCAGGAUCCCACCAGACCGCCGUGUCCUCACGCUCCUUGGCUGCAGCAUUUCUCGGACUCUGCUUGUCUCUGGUGACCGUGACAGUGUGAAGAGUAUUGUGAAGGCUUUCUCGACUGGGGUUUUCUCACGGGUGUCGUUGGAAGUCCCUGUGUGCAGCCCACACUGA
RNAcentral lists this long non-coding RNA (678 nucleotides) under Papio anubis (olive baboon). RNAcentral's name for it is "lncRNA (ENSPANG00000042727.1)". The record is from RNAcentral. Lineage: Eukaryota; Metazoa; Chordata; Mammalia; Primates; Cercopithecidae.